GGAGCCGCAGCGAAAGCGAGUCUGAAUAGGGCGUUGAGUAUUUGGUCGUAGACCCGAAACCAGGUGAUCUACCCUUGGUCAGGUUGAAGUUCAGGUAACACUGAAUGGAGGACCGAACCGACUUACGUUGAAAAGUGAGCGGAUGAACUGAGGGUAGCGGAGAAAUUCCAAUCGAACUUGGAGAUAGCUGGUUCUCUCCGAAAUAGCUUUAGGGCUAGCCUCAAGUGAUGAUUAUUGGAGGUAGAGCACUGUUUGGACGAGGGGCCCCUCUCGGGUUACCGAAUUCAGACAAACUCCGAAUGCCAAUUAAUUUAACUUGGGAGUCAGAACAUGGGUGAUAAGGUCCGUGUUCGAAAGGGAAACAGCCCAGACCACCAGCUAAGGUCCCAAAAUAUAUGUUAAGUGGAAAAGGAUGUGGCGUUGCCCAGACAACUAGGAUGUUGGCUUAGAAGCAGCCAUCAUUUAAAGAGUGCGUAAUAGCUCACUAGUCGAGUGACACUGCGCCGAAAAUGUACCGGGGCUAAACAUAUUACCGAAGCUGUGGAUUGUCCUUUGGACAAUGGUAGGAGAGCGUUCUAAGGGCGUCGAAGCAUGAUCGCAAGGACAUGUGGAGCGCUUAGAAGUGAGAAUGCCGGUGUGAGUAGCGAAAGACGGGUGAGAAUCCCGUCCACCGAUUGACUAAGGUUUCCAGAGGAAGGCUCGUCCGCUCUGGGUUAGUCGGGUCCUAAGCUGAGGCCGACAGGCGUAGGCGAUGGAUAACAGGUUGAUAUUCCUGUACCACCUAGUAUCGUUUUAAUCGAUGGGGGGACGCAGUAGGAUAGGCGAAGCGUGCUGUUGGAGUGCACGUCCAAGCAGUAAGGCUGAGUGUUAGGCAAAUCCGGCACUCAUAAGGCUGAGCUGUGAUGGGGAGAGGAAAUUGUUUCCUCGAGUCGUUGAUUUCACACUGCCGAGAAAAGCCUCUAGAUAGAUAACAGGUGCCCGUACCGCAAACCGACACAGGUAGUCAAGAUGAGAAUUCUAAGGUGAGCGAGCGAACUCUCGUUAAGGAACUCGGCAAAAUGACCCCGUAACUUCGGGAGAAGGGGUGCUCUUUAGGGUUCACGCCCAGAAGAGCCGCAGUGAAUAGGCCCAAGCGACUGUUUAUCAAAAACACAGGUCUCUGCUAAACCGUAAGGUGAUGUAUAGGGGCUGACGCCUGCCCGGUGCUGGAAGGUUAAGAGGAGUGGUUAGCUUCUGCGAAGCUACGAAUCGAAGCCCCAGUAAACGGCGGCCGUAACUAUAACGGUCCUAAGGUAGCGAAAUUCCUUGUCGGGUAAGUUCCGACCCGCACGAAAGGCGUAACGAUUUGGGCACUGUCUCAACGAGAGACUCGGUGAAAUCAUAGUACCUGUGAAGAUGCAGGUUACCCGCGACAGGACGGAAAGACCCCGUGGAGCUUUACUGUAGCCUGAUAUUGAAAUUCGGCACAGCUUGUACAGGAUAGGUAGGAGCCUUUGAAACGUGAGCGCUAGCUUACGUGGAGGCGUUGGUGGGAUACUACCCUAGCUGUGUUGGCUUUCUAACCCGCACCACUUAUCGUGGUGGGAGACAGUGUCAGGCGGGCAGUUUGACUGGGGCGGUCGCCUCCUAAAAGGUAACGGAGGCGCUCAAAGGUUCCCUCAGAAUGGUUGGAAAUCAUUCAUAGAGUGUAAAGGCAUAAGGGAGCUUGACUGCGAGACCUACAAGUCGAGCAGGGUCGAAAGACGGACUUAGUGAUCCGGUGGUUCCGCAUGGAAGGGCCAUCGCUCAACGGAUAAAAGCUACCCCGGGGAUAACAGGCUUAUCUCCCCCAAGAGUUCACAUCGACGGGGAGGUUUGGCACCUCGAUGUCGGCUCAUCGCAUCCUGGGGCUGUAGUCGGUCCCAAGGGUUGGGCUGUUCGCCCAUUAAAGCGGUACGCGAGCUGGGUUCAGAACGUCGUGAGACAGUUCGGUCCCUAUCCGUCGUGGGCGUAGGAAAUUUGAGAGGAGCUGUCCUUAGUACGAGAGGACCGGGAUGGACAUACCUCUGGUGUACCAGUUGUCGUGCCAACGGCAUAGCUGGGUAGCUAUGUAUGGACGGGAUAAGUGCUGAAAGCAUCUAAGCAUGAAGCCCCCCUCAAGAUGAGAUUUCCCAACUUCGGUUAUAAGAUCCCUCGAAGAUGACGAGGUUAAUAGGUUCGAGGUGGAAGCGUGGUGACACGUGGAGCUGACGAAUACUAAUCGAUCGAAGACUUAAUCAAUUUUUAAA
Molecule: ribosomal RNA, 2267 nt
Filed under: Staphylococcus epidermidis
Lineage: Bacteria; Bacillati; Bacillota; Bacilli; Caryophanales; Staphylococcaceae
Description: partial 23S ribosomal RNA
Rfam family: Bacterial large subunit ribosomal RNA
Source: RNAcentral